Molecule: long non-coding RNA, 4100 nt
Organism: Oncorhynchus keta (chum salmon)
Lineage: Eukaryota; Metazoa; Chordata; Actinopteri; Salmoniformes; Salmonidae
Exons: 5
Source: RefSeq, a predicted model, not a curated record
UCUUUCUGGGUGAGUCUCUAAGAGUGAUUACAGCUGUGAGUCUUUCUGGGUCUCUAAGAGUGAUUACAGCUGUGAGUCUUUCUGGGUCUCUAAGAGUGAUUACAGCUGUGAGUCUUUCUGGGUAAGUCUCUAAGAGUGAUUACAGCUGUGAGUCUUUCUGGGUAAGUCUCUAAGAGUGAUUACAGCUGUGAGUCUUUCUGGGUAAGUCUCUAAGAGCGAUUACAGCUGUGAGUCUUUCUGGGUGAGUCCCUAAGAGCGAUUACAGCUGUGAGUCUUUCUGGGUGAGUCUCUAAGAGCUUUCCACACCUGGAUUGUACAACAUUUGCCCAUUUUAUGAUUUUCUAAAUUCUUCAAGCUCUGUCCAGUUGGUUGUUGAUCAUUGCUAAGACAGCGAUUUUCAGGUUUUGCCAUAGAUUUUAAAGUAAAUUUAAGACAAAACUGUAACUCGGCCACUCAGGAACAUUCACUGUCUUCUUGGUAAGCAACUUCAGUGUAUAUUUGGCCUUGUGUUUUAGGUUAUUGUCCUGAUGAAAGGUGAAUUCAUCUCAGUGUCUGGUGGAAAGCAGACUGAACCAGGUUUUCCUCUAGGAUAUUGCCUGUGCUUAGCUCCAUUCCGUUUAUUUUUUUAUCCUGAAAAACUCCCCAGUCCUUAUAGAUUACAAGCAUACCCAUAACAUGGUGCAGCCACCACUAUGCUUGGAAAUAUGGAGAGUGGUACUCAGUAAUGUGUUUGUAUGGGAUUGGCCCCAAACAUAACAUUUUGUGUUCAGGACAAAAAGUUAAUUGCUUUGCCACAUUACUUGCAGUAUUACUUUAGUGACUCGUUGGAAACAGGAUGCGUCUUUUGGAAUAUUUUAUGUUCUCUCAAGGCUUCCUUUUCACUCUGUCAUUUAGGUUAGUAUUGUGGAGUAACUCCAAUGUUGUUGAUCCAUCCUCAGUUGUCUCCUAUCACAGCCAUUAAACUCUGUCAUUUAGGUUAGUAUUGUGGAGUAACUACAAUGUUGUUGAUCCAUCCUCAGUUGUCUCCUAUCACAGCCAUUAAACUCUGUCAUUUAGGUUAGUAUUGUGGAGUAACUCCAAUGUUGUUGAUCCAUCCUCAGUGUUCUCCUAUCACAGCCAUUAAACUCUGUAACUGUUUUUAAGUCAUCAUUGGCCUCCUGGUGAAAUCCCUGAGCAGUUUCCUUCCUCUCCAAUAUUCAAUGUUGGGGUGGCAGGGUAGCCUAGUGGUUAGAGUGGAGGGGAGGUAGGGUAGCCUAGUGGUUAGAGUGGAGGGGAGGUAGGGUAGCCUAGUGGUUAGAGUGGAGGGGAGGUAGGGUAGCCUAGUGGUUAGAGUGGAGGGGAGGUAGGGUAGCCUAGUGGUUAGAGUGGAGGGGAGGUAGGGUAGCCUAGUGGUUAGAGUGGAGGGGAGGUAGGGUAGCCUAGUGGUUAGAGUGGAGGGGAGGUAGGGUAGCCUAGUGGUUAGAGUGGAGGGGAGGUAGGGUAGCCUAGUGGUUAGAGUGGAGGGGAGGUAGGGUAGCCUAGUGGUUAGUGUAGAGGAGGCAGGGUAGCCUAGUGGUUAGAGUGGAGGGGCGGCAGGGUAGCCUAGUGGUUAGAGUGUAGAGUUGGUAGGGUAGCCUAGUGGUUAGAGUGGAGGGGCGGCAGGGUAGCCUAGUGGUUAGAGUGUAGAGGCGGCAGGGUAGCCUAGUGGUUAGAGUGGAGGGGAGGUAGGGUAGCCUAGUGGUUAGAGUGGAGGGGAGGUAGGGUAGCCUAGUGGUUAGAGUGGAGGGGAGGUAGGGUAGCCUAGUGGUUAGAGUGGAGGGGAGGUAGGGUAGCCUAGUGGUUAGAGUGGAGGGGAGGUAGGGUAGCCUAGUGGUUAGAGUGGAGGGGAGGUAGGGUAGCCUAGUGGUUAGUGUAGAGGAGGCAGGGUAGCCUAGUGGUUAGAGUGGAGGGGCGGCAGGGUAGCCUAGUGGUUAGAGUGUAGAGUUGGUAGGGUAGCCUAGUGGUUAGAGUGGAGGGGCGGCAGGGUAGCCUAGUGGUUAGAGUGUAGAGGCGGCAGGGUAGCCUAGUGGUUAGAGUGGAGAGGCGGCAGGGUAGCCUAGUGGUUAGAGUGGAGGGGCGGCAGGGUAGCCUAGUGGUUAGAGUGGAGGGGCGGCAGGGUAGCCUAGUGGUUAGAGUGUAGAGUUGGUAGGGUAGCCUAGUGGUUAGAGUGGAGGGGCGGCAGGGUAGCCUAGUGGUUAGAGUGUAGAGGAGGCAGGUAGCCUAGUGGUUAGAGUGUAGAGGAGGCAGGGUAGCCUAGUGGUUAGAGUGUAGAGGAGGUAGGGUAGCCUAGUGGUUAGAGUGUAGAGGAGGUAGGGUAGCCUAGUGGUUAGAGUGUAGAGGAGGUAGGGUAGCCUAGUGGUUAGAGUGUAGAGGUGGCAGGGUAGCCUAGUGGUUAGAGUGUAGAGGUGGCAGGGUAGCCUAGUGGUUAGAGUGUAGAGGAGGUAGGGUAGCCUAGUGGUUAGAGUGGAGGGGCGGCAGGGUAGCCUAGUGGUUAGAGUGGAGAGGCGGCAGGGUAGCCUAGUGGUUAGAGUGUAGAGGUGGCAGGUAGCCUAGUGGUUAGAGUGGAGGGGCGGCAGGGUAGCCUAGUGGUUAGAGUGUAGAGGAGGCAGGUAGCCUAGUGGUUAGAGUGUAGAGGAGGCUGGUAGCCUAGUGGUUAGAGUGUAGAGGAGGUAGGUAGCCUAGUGGUUAGAGUGUAGAGGAGGCAGGUAGCCUAGUGGUUAGAGUGUAGAGGAGGUAGGGUAGCCUAGUGGUUAGAGUGUAGAGGAGGUAGGGUAGCCUAGUGGUUAGAGUGUAGAGGUGGCAGGGUAGCCUAGUGGUUAGAGUGUAGAGGUGGCAGGGUAGCCUAGUGGUUAGAGUGUAGAGGAGGUAGGGUAGCCUAGUGGUUAGAGUGUAGAGGUGGCAGGGUAGCCUAGUGGUUAGAGUGUAGAGGUGGCAGGGUAGCCUAGUGGUUAGAGUGUAGAGGUGGCAGGGUAGCCUAGUGGUUAGAGUGUAGAGGUGGCAGGGUAGCCUAGUGGUUAGAGUGUAGAGGCGGCAGGGUAGCCUAGUGGUUAGAAUGGAGAGGCGGCAGGGUAGCCUGGUGGUUAGAGUGUAGAGGCGACAGGGUAGCCUAGUGGUUAGAGUGUUGGACUAGUAACCGGAAGGUUGCAAGUUCAUAUCCCCGAGCUGACAAGGUACAAAUCUGUCUUUCUGCCCCUGAACAAGACACUUUUCCCCAGUAGGCCGUCACUGAAAAUAAGAAUUUGUUCUUAACUGACCUGCCUUCUUAAAUAAAGGUACAAAAAAAAUCGUCUUUUUACAUGUUUGAUGAUGCACCAAUUUGUAAGUCGCUCUGGAUAAGAGCGUCUGCUAAAUGACUUAAAUGUAAAUGUAAAUGUUUACCCAUCUACCAAUCGGUGGCCUUCUUUGUGAGGCAGUGGAAAACCCUCCCUGGUUUUUGUGGUUGAGUCUGUGUUUGAAAUUCACUGCUCGCAUGUAAUUGUAUGUGUUUGGGUACAGAGAUGAGGUAGUCAUUCAUGUGACUUGUUAAGCACAUUUUUACUCCUGAACUUUAACCUCUAUUGGAGCGGUGACCGGUAAAAUUAAUAACUAGAAAACAAACGUUUUUUAUCUUUGUAUUAUCUUUUACCAGAUCUAAUGUGUUAUAUUCUCCUACAUUCCUUUCACAUUUCCACAAACGUCAAAGUGUUUCCUUUCAAAUGGUACCAAAAAUAUGCAUAUCCUUGCUUCAGGUCCUGAGCUACAGGCAGUUAGAUUUGGGUAUGUCAUUUUAGGGGCAAACAUUUUUUUUUUUAAAGGGUGUCUUGUCCUUAAGAGGUUUUAAGCUUUUCAUAACUAAGGGGUUGAAUACUUCUCGACUCAAGACAUUUCAGUUUUUUAUUUGUAAAUUAAUUUGUUCAAUUUUUGUUGUUAAAACCAUAUUUCCUUUUUGAUAUUAUGAGGUAUUGUGGGUAGGCCAGUAAUACAUUUUAAAAUCAGGCUGUAACACAACAAAAUGUGGAAAAAGUCAAGGUAAUAACCUUGUGGUAAUGUUGUAGUGAAGGUGUUACUCUAACCUCCUUCAACACCUGUAAUUCAACCUCCUC